RNAcentral lists this long non-coding RNA (494 nucleotides) under Homo sapiens (human). RNAcentral's name for it is "non-protein coding lnc-ZSCAN23-2:1". Lineage: Eukaryota; Metazoa; Chordata; Mammalia; Primates; Hominidae. The record is from RNAcentral.
AAUGAAAGUUUCCCAGAGGAUUUCAUUCUCAUGGGCUUUGUCAAAUAUCCAUGGCUGGAUUUUCUUCUCUUCUGUGUCCUCUUGACCUUCUACAUGUUCACAUUGUUGGGAAAUAGUGCUAUUAUUCUGGUCUCUCAACUAGAUUCCCAACUUCAUAGUCCUAUGUAUUUCCUUCUCACCAGUCUUUCCGUCUUAUAUCUCUGUUUCACCACCACAACAGUACCUCAAAUGCUGUUCAAUUUAGGGGGCCCAACAAGAACAUCACUUAAAUAGGCUGUAUGGCCCAGGCCUAUGUAUUUCACUGGCUAGCCUGUAUUGAAUGUGUCCUUCUUGGCAUCGUGGCCUUAGACUGCUAUGUGGCUGUCUGUAAGCCUCCAAGGUACACUAUAAUCAUAGACCAUAAGGUCUGCCUGCACCUGUCCAGCACUGCUUGGCUAAUUGGUCUGGCCAAUUCACUGCUGCAGUCAACAAUCACAAUUCAGUUGCCCCUGUAG